GUGCCAGCCGCCGCGGUAAUACCUGCAGCCCGAGUGGUGGCCGUUAUUAUUGGGCCUAAAACGUCCGUAGCCGGUUGGGUAGAUGCCUGUGUAAAUCGAACGGCUUAACCGUUCGAACUGCGGGUAGACCGCCCGACUAGGGACCGGGAGAGUCACGAAGUACUCCGGGGGUAGAGGUGAAAUUCUGUAAUCCUCGGGGGACUACCGGUGGCGAAGGCGUCGUGAUAGAACGGCUCCGACGGUGAGGGACGAAGCCCUGGGGCGCAAACCGGAUUAGAAACCCUAGUAGUCC
This 292-nucleotide ribosomal RNA is filed under the name uncultured bacterium. RNAcentral's name for it is "partial 16S ribosomal RNA". It matches the Rfam family "Archaeal small subunit ribosomal RNA", at positions 455 to 747 of the family's 1478-position model. The record is from RNAcentral.